RNAcentral lists this ribosomal RNA (265 nucleotides) under uncultured archaeon. RNAcentral's name for it is "partial 16S ribosomal RNA". It matches the Rfam family "Archaeal small subunit ribosomal RNA", at positions 717 to 982 of the family's 1478-position model. The record is from RNAcentral.
AGACGUCUACAUUAGAUACCCCGGUAGUCCCAGCCGUAAACUAUGCGCGUUAGGUGUAUCGGUGACCACGAGUCACCGAGGUGCCGAAGGGAAACCGUGAAACGUGCCGCCUGGGAAGUACGGUCGCAAGGCUGAAACUUAAAGGAAUUGGCGGGGAGCACCACAACGGGUGGAGCCUGCGGUUUAAUUGGACUCAACGCCGGGAAGCUCACCGGAUAAGACAGCGGGAAUGAUUGCCGGGCUGAAGACUCUGCAUGACUAGCUG